UGCAUUCACUACUGUAAGUCGCUCUGGAUAAGAGCGUCUGCUAAAUGAUCUAAA
Salmo salar (Atlantic salmon) is the source of this 54-nucleotide non-coding RNA. Lineage: Eukaryota; Metazoa; Chordata; Actinopteri; Salmoniformes; Salmonidae. The record is from Rfam.